AGAGUUUGAUCCUGGCUCAGAGUGAACGCUGGCGGCAGGCCUAAUACAUGCAAGUCGAACGGCAGCACAGCAGAGCUUGCUCUGUGGGUGGCGAGUGGCGGACGGGUGAGGAAUACAUGGGAAUCUGCCCAGUCGUGGGGAUAACGUAGGGAAACUUACGCUAAUACCGCAUGCGCCCUUCGGGGGAAAGCCGGGGACCUUCGGGCCUGGCGCGAUUGGAUGAGCCCAUGUCGGAUUAGCUAGUUGGCGGGGUAAUGGCCUACCAAGGCGACGAUCCGUAGCUGGUCUGAGAGGAUGAUCAGCCACACUGGAACUGAGACACGGUCCAGACUCCUACGGGAGGCAGCAGUAGGGAAUAUUGGACAAUGGACGCAAGCCUGAUCCAGCCAUGCCGCGUGAGUGAAGAAGGCCCUCGGGUUGUAAAGCUCUUUUGUCCGGAAAGAAAAGCGCCGGGUUAAUACCCUAGUGUCCUGACGGUACCGGAAGAAUAAGCACCGGCUAACUUCGUG
RNAcentral lists this ribosomal RNA (509 nucleotides) under uncultured bacterium. RNAcentral describes it as "bacterial SSU rRNA". It matches the Rfam family "Bacterial small subunit ribosomal RNA", at positions 8 to 507 of the family's 1533-position model. The record is from RNAcentral.